This 206-nucleotide long non-coding RNA is filed under the name Capsicum annuum. Its description in RNAcentral is "long non-coding RNA (CANN_LNC007330)". Lineage: Eukaryota; Viridiplantae; Streptophyta; Magnoliopsida; Solanales; Solanaceae. The record is from RNAcentral.
GUUUUCUCACUGUUUCUUGUUUUCUCCUUUUUCCGUUUCUUCUGUUUCUAACUCUUCUCUCUUCUUUUUUUUCAGUUUUCCUUGUUGGUUUAUGUCCUUCCGUUUUUGUUUUCUUGUUUUUCAAAUGUUUUCUCUUCCUCUUUUUAAAAAUGUGUUCCUCUCCGCCUUUUUUCUUCUAUCUGUGUGUAGAUAUAUAGUGCAUGUGU